GGGGGAUAUUGCACAAUGGAGGAAACUCUGAUGCAGCGACGCCGCGUGAGUGAUGAAGUAUUUCGGUAUGUAAAGCUCUAUCAGCAGGGAAGAAAGGCCCCGAAAGGGGAGAUGACGGUACCUGAGUAAGAAGCCCCGGCUAACUACGUGCCAGCAGCCGCGGUAAUACGUAGGGGGCGAGCGUUAUCCGGAUUUACUGGGUGUAAAGGGAGCGCAGACGGAGAAGCAAGUCUGAUGUGAAAGCCCGCGGCUCAACCGCGGGACUGCAUUGGAAACUGUUUAUCUGGAGUACUGGAAGGGCAAGCGGAAUUCCUGGUGUAGCGGUGAAAUGCGUAGAUAUCAGGAGGAACACCGGUGGCGAAGGCGGCUUGCUGGACAGUAACUGACGUUGAGGCUCGAAAGCGUGGGGAGCAAAC
This 416-nucleotide ribosomal RNA is filed under the name uncultured bacterium. Its description in RNAcentral is "bacterial SSU rRNA". It matches the Rfam family "Bacterial small subunit ribosomal RNA", at positions 356 to 773 of the family's 1533-position model. The record is from RNAcentral.